This 67-nucleotide transfer RNA is filed under the name Eurysternus foedus. RNAcentral's name for it is "tRNA-Pro". The record is from RNAcentral. Lineage: Eukaryota; Metazoa; Arthropoda; Insecta; Coleoptera; Scarabaeidae.
CAGAGAAUAGUUUAAUUAAAAUAUUAAUUUUGGAGAUUAAUGAUAGAACUACUUGUUUUUUCUCUGA